CCUACGGGUGGCAGCAGUGAGGAAUAUUGGUCAAUGGCCGGAAGGCUGAACCAGCCAAGUCGCGUGAGGGAAUAAGGCCCUAUGGGUCGUACACCUCUUUUGUCAGGGAGCAAAGGCGUCCACGUGUGGACGAGAGGAGAGUACCUGCAGAAAAAGCAUCGGCUAACUCCGUGCCAGCAGCCGCGGUAAUACGGAGGAUUCAAGCGUUAUCCGGAUUUAUUGGGUUUAAAGGGUGCGUAGGCGGGCGGAUAAGUUAGAGGUGAAAUCCCGAGGCUCAACGUCGGAAUUGCCUCUGAUACUGUUCGGCUAGAGAGUAGUUGCGGUAGGCGGAAUGUAUGGUGUAGCGGUGAAAUGCUUAGAGAUCAUACAGAACACCGAUUGCGAAGGCAGCUUACCAAGCUACUUCUGACGUUGAGGCACGAAAGCGUGGGGAGCAAACAGGAUUAGAUACCCCGGUAGUC
RNAcentral lists this ribosomal RNA (461 nucleotides) under uncultured bacterium. RNAcentral's name for it is "partial 16S ribosomal RNA". It matches the Rfam family "Bacterial small subunit ribosomal RNA", at positions 338 to 795 of the family's 1533-position model. The record is from RNAcentral.